CUAAGGCAGGUUUGAGGGUAAUGAAAGGGUGUUUUUCCCAGUCCUUUCUCCUAGCUGAGCUAGCAGAGAUGCUCAUCAGGUGCCUAAUUAAUGAGGCCAGCAGAAAUGUGGGAAGUCUAGAUAUAAGGAAAGGAAACAGAAUAGUCUAGUCUGGGCUCACCCAGGAAAACAGCAUGUCGCUGUAGGGGGAGACACAUGGACCCUGUUGAGGAAACACACAGCAGGAGCUGUGAGUGGUCCAAGAAGUGGUGUGAACUGUGAGUAAAACAGGUUGCAGGGGCACAUGUUUUAUGCUGGCUGAGGGUAGCUCACCAGUUAGUAGUCAGGGCAUGCUUACAUGUGUAGUCAGUGACCAGACGGUCUAGGACUUCGGUUUGUUCCUGAGUUAUAUUUUGUUUUACCUGUAACCUGUGUAAAUAAAGCUCGUGAGGUGCCAGACUUGUAUGCUUAACGGUUGUCUGGCGAGUUAUUGCGAGGAAACGUGUCCCGUGGUAAGUGACCAGGACGAUCCCAGAGCUAAUCCCCGAGACGGAAUGUCACAAUAUAUAUGUACAUAUAUCUAUACACAUACAUAAAUACAAAUAUAUAUACACACAUAUACAUAUAUAUACACACAUACAUAUAUAUAUAUGCAUACAUAUUUAUUUAUACAUAUAUGUACAUUCAUAUAUACAUACAAAUACAUAUUUAUAUAUAUAUAUAUCCAAAAUAAAGUGUCCCACAGCACUCCAGUUAGAUGAAAAAUCAAAGGUGAUUUAUUUUCUCAUAUGUGGCGAGCAACGUUUUGACUGUCUGCACAGUCUUUAUCAAGCAUGUAUAUGUACAUGUAUAUACAUACACAUAUCUAUAUAUAUAUAUAUACAUAUAUAUAUAUAUUUCCUCAUCGUCCCCUACGGCAGCACAGAAGGGUAAUGCGGUCUCCAGACCACCCACCAGGACCGCCCAUCUAGAUAUUAGCAUAAAUAAUUAUUUUAAUUAACCAAGGUACCAUACCUAUAAAACAACCCCGCAAACUCCCGCACGCUGCCCAUCUAUUCAAGAUUUUGUACAGCCCUGCAGGGUCUUGGCUGCAUCUAUGUCCGUGAGUAUAUGCCAGUGCGGGGUCCUGGCUCUGUCCUGCCACGGUCUGUCAGCGGCAUGGCAGGACUAUAGCCAGUGCGGGAUCCUGGCUUUUAGGAGGUUCCAGUGCGGGGUCCUGGUCUCCGUUAACGGCAGUGUGUUCCAGAGGAAAGAUUGCCGGUGAAGUAUCCUAGCCGUUAUACUCAUGUCUGCUGCCUGCCGCCGCCGCCUAAAGAGGGAUGCUGCGCUGCGCUGUAAGUCUCUGGACCACGGUAAGUGUCAGCCGCUCUCCGGCUUAAUUAUUAUUUGUGAUCAGGGCUUACACAUUCGUGCUCGUGAUAACCAUGAUAUAUAUUUACUUGUAAUGUACACAUUAUAACCUUUAACAUAUCGGUCUGGAGUGUCCCCAAUGACCGCGACAGAGGCCACACCUUUAGAGGGCAUGCCCUGUAAUGUAUGAAAUGAAGAAAUGAAAAGAUGGAAAAAAGAGAGGGAGGGUUGGGAGGGGUCCUCAAAAUGUCACGAACGCCACCUGAUAGGGGGCAGGGGCUAUAUAUAUAUCCCUGCCCCCGCCCACAACCCCUUAUGUGCCACCUUGAUGUGUAGGGGGGUUGGAGAUGUUACCGCCCAUAUCACAAAUACAGCCUAAUUAGGCUUUACACUUGUGAUCAGGGCUUACACAUUCCUGCUUGUGAUAACCAUGAUAUAUAUUUACUUGUAAUGUACACAUUAUAACCUUUAACAUAUCGGUCUGGAGUGUCCCCAAUGACCGCGACAGAGGCCACACCUUUAGAGGGCAUGCCCUGUAAUGUAUGAAAUGAAGAAAUGAAAAGAUGGAAAAAAGAGAGGGAGGGUUGGGAGGGGUCCUCAAAAUGUCACGAACGCCACCUGAUAGGGGGCAGGGGCUAUAUAUAUAUCCCUGCCCCCGCCCACAACCCCUUAUGUGCCACCUUGAUGUGUAGGGGGGUUGGAGAUGUUACCGCCCAUAUCACAAAUACAGCCUAAUUAGGCUUUACACUUGUGAUCAGGGCUUACACAUUCCUGCUUGUGAUAACCAUGAUAUAUAUUUACUUGUAAUGUACACAUUAUAAACUUUUAACAUAUCGGUCUGGAGUGUGUCCAAUGACCGCAACGGAGGCCGCACUUUUAGAGGGCAAAAGUCAAUCUGGUAGGGAAUCAAAUGUUGUAAUCAUGACCAAUGCCCCUACCUUAGCACAAAUCCAAGAUAUAGUCCCGACAUUGAGACAGAAAAUAGGUGAAGCAAACUGACUGGCACAGGGAUCGAUGCCUGGAAACUGAAGAGUUGUGACAGUCAUGCCUCCUCUACACCGAAACCAGAGUUCGGCACUUGAACAGGGUCAGGCUAAACCCAAACCGAUAUCUGCUUGUAGCAUGCGGCCUAACCUCAUUGCAAGAGUGAAACACUAUGACCUGUCGGCCCAAUGAAUCCCAUCAUAUUCCUGCUAAUGAGUGGCAAAAUAGAAACUGUUAGCUAAAUAGGCACAACCAUCGACACCCGAUCGACCUUGGCGGUAACCGCCUUAUUGCCUGAAGAUCAACAAUAUCCGACUACCUUACCUGAAACUAAAUCAAUCCCAAUGCCCCAUUCCUAACUCCACUAGCCUCAUGAGUGGUGUCCCAUUACGAUAAACCCGCCCUAUUGCCAUUAUGUCUGACAUUACCAUUAUUGGUGAAUGCCGAAACUUCUGCUGAACCUAGUCGACGUAUAUAUCACCCUAUACAGUAACCCCCCCGAGCUGCGAUGGCCCCGACA
Hyla sarda is the source of this 2833-nucleotide long non-coding RNA. RefSeq lists it as uncharacterized. The transcript is spliced from 2 exons. The record is from RefSeq and is a predicted model, not a curated record. NCBI's taxonomy places the organism in Eukaryota, Metazoa, Chordata, Amphibia, Anura, Hylidae.